GAAGAGACAGAAGCCAGGCCGCCCAAGAGAGUCUCUUUCCUCUUUGGAAAUCGAAGAGAGAAGAAGCUGAGGAGCGACUCCGCCCAAACCCAAGAUUCAGAGAUCUCUCUCCAGGCCUUUCCCUCCAGAGCAGGCCAGAGAACUCUCCUCACCCUGGAAGCUCCCUCUUUGGCAGUAGCCCCAGCCUCUCCUCCUGCCCCUCUUCUGGGCUGCACCGGCCCUGUCUACAGCAGCCAUCCCUCGCUCUCCUCUCUCCACCCUGCUGUCCCAGGGAUCAGCUCAUCACGCCCAGGAACGCAAUGGCCAUCUCUGUGCUGGCGAAUCUCAAAUCUCUGCCCACGACCUCAUCUCCAGCUGCCUUCCAGACACCCACAAUUCCAGGCCAGCUCUUCCUCCUCCUCCCUCCCACCUUCCCUGUCACUCUUAAGGGCAACCCUACCCUCCCAGGCCCUCAGCUUCCCGACCUUGGAGUCAUGCAGACCUCCUCCCUUUCACUCCCCAUAUCCAAUAUGGUACCAAAGCCAAUCAAUUUCACUUUGGCAAAAUCACUGGUCAGUUUCACCUCUGCCCCAUCUCUGGUCAGUCUCACCUCUGGUCAGUCUCACCUCUGCCCCAUCUCUGGUCAGUUUCACCUCUGGUCAGUCUCACCUCCACCCCAUCUCUGGUCAGUUUCACCUCUACCCCAUCUCUGGUCAGUUUCACCUCUGGUCAGUCUCACCUCUGCCCCAUCUCUGGUCAGUUUCACCUCUGCCCCAUCUCUAGUCAGUUUCACCUCUGGUCAGUUUCACCUCUGCCCCAUCUCUGGUCAGUUUCACCUCUUCCCCAUCUCUGGUCAGUCUCACCUCUGGUCAGUCUCACCUCUGCCCCAUCUCUGGUCAGUUUCACCUCUGGUCAGUCUCACCUCUGCCCCAUCUCUGGUCAGUCUCACCUCUGCCCCACCUCUAGUCAGUUUCACCUCUGGUCAGUCUCACCUCUGCCCCAUCUCUGGUCAGUUUCACUUCUGGUCAGUCUCACCUCUGCCCAUCUCUGGUCAGUUUCACCUCUGGUCAUUCUCACCUCUGCCCCAUCUCUAGUCAGUUUCACCUCUGGUCAGUCUCACCUAUGCCCCAUCUCUGGUCAGUUUCACCUCUGAUCAGUCUCACCUCUGCCCCAU
RNAcentral lists this long non-coding RNA (1153 nucleotides) under Monodelphis domestica (gray short-tailed opossum). RNAcentral describes it as "lncRNA (ENSMODG00000039837.1)". The record is from RNAcentral. Lineage: Eukaryota; Metazoa; Chordata; Mammalia; Didelphimorphia; Didelphidae.